Molecule: ribosomal RNA, 2297 nt
Filed under: Enterococcus faecalis EnGen0368
Lineage: Bacteria; Bacillati; Bacillota; Bacilli; Lactobacillales; Enterococcaceae
Description: bacterial LSU rRNA
Rfam family: Bacterial large subunit ribosomal RNA
Source: RNAcentral
UUAAGUGAAUAAGGGCGCACGGUGGAUGCCUUGGCACUAGGAGCCGAUGAAGGACGGGACUAACACCGAUAUGCUUUGGGGAGCUGUAAGUAAGCUAUGAUCCAGAGAUUUCCGAAUGGGGGAACCCAAUAUCUUUUAUAGGAUAUUACUUUUCAGUGAAUACAUAGCUGAUUAGAGGUAGACGCAGAGAACUGAAACAUCUUAGUACCUGCAGGAAGAGAAAGAAAAUUCGAUUCCCUGAGUAGCGGCGAGCGAAACGGGAAGAGCCCAAACCAACAAGCUUGCUUGUUGGGGUUGUAGGACUCCAAUAUGGUAGUCUGUUAGUAUAGUUGAAGGAUUUGGAAAAUUCCGCUAAAAAGGGUGAAAGCCCCGUAGACGAAAUGCUGACAACACCUAGGAGGAUCCUGAGUACGGCGGAACACGAGAAAUUCCGUCGGAAUCCGCGGGGACCAUCCCGCAAGGCUAAAUACUCCCUAGUGACCGAUAGUGAACCAGUACCGUGAGGGAAAGGUGAAAAGCACCCCGGAAGGGGAGUGAAAUAGAUCCUGAAACCGUGUGCCUACAACAAGUCAAAGCUCGUUAAUGAGUGAUGGCGUGCCUUUUGUAGAAUGAACCGGCGAGUUACGAUUGCAUGCGAGGUUAAGUCGAAGAGACGGAGCCGCAGCGAAAGCGAGUCUGAAUAGGGCGAAUGAGUAUGUAGUCGUAGACCCGAAACCAUGUGAUCUACCCAUGUCCAGGUUGAAGGUGCGGUAAAACGCACUGGAGGACCGAACCCACGUACGUUGAAAAGUGCGGGGAUGAGGUGUGGGUAGCGGAGAAAUUCCAAACGAACUUGGAGAUAGCUGGUUCUCUCCGAAAUAGCUUUAGGGCUAGCCUCGGAAUUGAGAAUGAUGGAGGUAGAGCACUGUUUGGACUAGGGGCCCAUCUCGGGUUACCGAAUUCAGAUAAACUCCGAAUGCCAUUCAUUUAUAUCCGGGAGUCAGACUGCGAGUGAUAAGAUCCGUAGUCGAAAGGGAAACAGCCCAGACCACCAGCUAAGGUCCCAAAAUAUAUGUUAAGUGGAAAAGGAUGUGGGGUUGCACAGACAACUAGGAUGUUGGCUUAGAAGCAGCCACCAUUUAAAGAGUGCGUAAUAGCUCACUAGUCGAGUGACCCUGCGCCGAAAAUGUACCGGGGCUAAACAUAUUACCGAAGCUGUGGACUACACCAUUAGGUGUAGUGGUAGGAGAGCGUUCUAAGGGCGUUGAAGGUCGAUCGUGAGGACGGCUGGAGCGCUUAGAAGUGAGAAUGCCGGUAUGAGUAGCGAAAGACAGGUGAGAAUCCUGUCCACCGUAUGACUAAGGUUUCCUGGGGAAGGCUCGUCCUCCCAGGGUUAGUCGGGACCUAAGCCGAGGCCGAUAGGCGUAGGCGAUGGACAACAGGUUGAUAUUCCUGUACCAGUUGUUUUUGUUUGAGCAAUGGAGGGACGCAGUAGGCUAAGGAAUGCAUGCGAUUGGAAGUGCAUGUCCAAGCAAUGAGUCUUGAGUAGAGUUAAAUGCUUUACUCUUUAAGGACAAGUUGUGACGGGGAGCGAAAUAAUAGUAGCGAAGUUCCUGAUGUCACACUGCCAAGAAAAGCUUCUAGUGAGAAAACAACUGCCCGUACCGUAAACCGACACAGGUAGUCGAGGAGAGUAUCCUAAGGUGAGCGAGCGAACUCUCGUUAAGGAACUCGGCAAAAUGACCCCGUAACUUCGGGAGAAGGGGUGCUGACUUCGGUCAGCCGCAGUGAAUAGGCCCAAGCGACUGUUUAUCAAAAACACAGGUCUCUGCAAAAUCGUAAGAUGAAGUAUAGGGGCUGACGCCUGCCCGGUGCUGGAAGGUUAAGAGGAUGGGUUAGCUUCGGCGAAGCUCAGAAUUGAAGCCCCAGUAAACGGCGGCCGUAACUAUAACGGUCCUAAGGUAGCGAAAUUCCUUGUCGGGUAAGUUCCGACCCGCACGAAAGGCGUAACGAUUUGGGCACUGUCUCAACGAGAGACUCGGUGAAAUUUUAGUACCUGUGAAGAUGCAGGUUACCCGCGACAGGACGGAAAGACCCCAUGGAGCUUUACUGUAGUUUGAUAUUGAGUGUUUGUACCACAUGUACAGGAUAGGUAGGAGCCGAUGAGACCGGAACGCUAGUUUCGGAGGAGGCGCUGGUGGGAUACUACCCUUGUGUUAUGAACCCUCUAACCCGCACCACUAAUCGUGGUGGGAGACAGUGUCAGAUGGGCAGUUUGACUGGGGCGGUCGCCUCCUAAAAGGUAACGGAGGCGCCCA